UACGAAGGGGGCUAGCGUUGCUCGGAAUCACUGGGCGUAAAGCGCACGUAGGCGGCUUUUUAAGUCAGGGGUGAAAUCCUGGAGCUCAACUCCAGAACUGCCUUUGAUACUGAGAAGCUUGAGUCCGGGAGAGGUGAGUGGAACUGCGAGUGUAGAGGUGAAAUUCGUAGAUAUUCGCAAGAACACCGGUGGCGAAGGCGGCAUCCUGGACCGGCAUUGACGCUGAGGCGCGAAAGCCAGGGGAGCAAACAGG
RNAcentral lists this ribosomal RNA (253 nucleotides) under uncultured bacterium. RNAcentral's name for it is "partial 16S ribosomal RNA". It matches the Rfam family "Bacterial small subunit ribosomal RNA", at positions 524 to 776 of the family's 1533-position model. The record is from RNAcentral.